AAUGAACGCUGGCGGCAUGCUUUACACAUGCAAGUCGAACGGUAACAGGGUGCUUGCACCGCUGACGAGUGGCGAACGGGUGAGUAAUGCGUCGGAACGUGCCGAGUAGUGGGGGAUAACGCAGCGAAAGUUGUGCUAAUACCGCAUACGUACUGAGGUAGAAAGUGGGGGACCUUCGGGCCUCACGCUAUUCGAGCGGCCGACGUCUGAUUAGCUAGUAGGUGAGGUAAAGGCUCACCUAGGCGACGAUCAGUAGCGGGUCUGAGAGGAUGAUCCGCCACACUGGGACUGAGACACGGCCCAGACUCCUACGGGAGGCAGCAGUGGGGAAUUUUGGACAAUGGGCGAAAGCCUGAUCCAGCCAUGCCGCGUGUCUGAAGAAGGCCUUCGGGUUGUAAAGGACUUUUGUCAGGGAGGAAAUCCCUAGUGCUAAUAACACUGGGGGAUGACGGUACCUGAAGAAUAAGCACCGGCUAACUACGUGCCAGCCGCCGCGGUAA
This 500-nucleotide ribosomal RNA is filed under the name uncultured bacterium. RNAcentral describes it as "partial 16S ribosomal RNA". It matches the Rfam family "Bacterial small subunit ribosomal RNA", at positions 29 to 523 of the family's 1533-position model. The record is from RNAcentral.